AUUUGUAGAGUCUUCAUAUUACUUCUACAGUAGCUAUUUACUUUUCCUCUUAACAUGUAUAUUCGAUUGGCUGACACUGACACAUCAUGGUCCAGCACACUCCAAAUUAUCUUUCAGCUUAGACGGCUUAAUUGAUAAGCUAUCUUUAAUUCGAUAUAUACUACUUUCAUCGCUGCCUCUGUUUAUUUGUCGGGAAGGACAAACAAAUUCACAUUAGUACAAUGCAGAAAUUCUCAAAUUUACACUCCAAAUUUUCUUUACAGGUGUCCUUUUUGUUGGAACACUUCUGCCUCCUUUUACAUUUGGAAUUAGAAGCUUUUUGUGAAUUUAUGUGAUAAUCUUGCUACAUCAGAACCUGAUAUUUUCAAAUGAGAGAUAAAUUGUGUUAGAUAGGAAAAUACAAUUCAAAUGAACAUAAUCACAUGCUUAGAAUGAUAUACUUUACACUGCAUUUGUUGUAGUUGUAAAAUAGUUUACCCUCGCAUUUAGGCAUUCGUUGUCGUUUUAUACACUGCAAAUGUGAUCCUUACAUCACAUUAUUGUAUUUUAUGCAGGCUAGUAAUAGCAGCGGUGGAAGGGGAUGGAGACAGGGAGGAAAAUGUUCCUGAAGUUCCGGUGGAGAAUGAUUUCUUGUUAAAUGGGGAGCUCGACGGGGAGGAUGUACAUUGAUUCAUUAUCCUCUGUGUCCAUAGUCAGUUAAAGUAUGUAUUAGUUAGACUUUGUCGGAUGGUUAUUUAUUAGCUUUAGUUUUAUGUAAUCUUUUGGUAUGUACUGUUUGAUUGAGAUCAAACAGGAGAUGAUGUAUAGGGUUGUUGGACAGGUUGUGUAAAAUGUUAUAUCUAUUUUUAUGCAGCUUUGAUAUAUUUAUUGUUUUAA
Molecule: long non-coding RNA, 876 nt
Organism: Daucus carota subsp. sativus
Lineage: Eukaryota; Viridiplantae; Streptophyta; Magnoliopsida; Apiales; Apiaceae
Exons: 2
Source: RefSeq, a predicted model, not a curated record